Molecule: ribosomal RNA, 115 nt
Filed under: uncultured bacterium
Lineage: Bacteria
Description: partial 16S ribosomal RNA
Source: RNAcentral
GGGGUAUUAACUCUCAUGCAUUUCUUCCCAUCUGACAGGGUUUUACGACCCGAAAGCCUUCCUCACCCACGCGGCGUCGCUGCGUCAGGCUUUCGCCCAUUGCGCAAAAUUCCCC